RNAcentral lists this unclassified non-coding RNA (300 nucleotides) under Hevea brasiliensis (rubber tree). The record is from RNAcentral. Lineage: Eukaryota; Viridiplantae; Streptophyta; Magnoliopsida; Malpighiales; Euphorbiaceae.
UUAUGAUUUACUGUAUGCUACAUGAUAAUACCGCACUCUAAUUAUCUUCGCUAUCACUGAUACUAGACCGAGAGUCUAUAAAGAAGCCUGUCGAGAAUUCAAUGUCAUCGACUAUCCUCCCCCUUUCAAGAACAUACUUCCCCUCCUUGUACUUUUGGCUCUUCUCAUGUGCUGCCUCAUAUUUCCACCCGACAAUUUGUCCACAAGUGCAACAAAAUAUAUCUGCUACAGUGUGCAAUCCUGAAAGCAUCAUCCUCUCUUCCAACGCUCCAUAAGAAAUGUUUAUCGCAUUAUUGAAAA